This 389-nucleotide long non-coding RNA is filed under the name Crocodylus porosus (Australian saltwater crocodile). RNAcentral's name for it is "lncRNA (ENSCPRG00005015215.1)". Lineage: Eukaryota; Metazoa; Chordata; Crocodylia; Crocodylidae. The record is from RNAcentral.
AACCUGACUUGAUUUUGAAUUCAUUUAGUCUUCGGUGAACUUAUACUUGUGUACUAUAUUUACAGGUCUACUUCUACUAUUUUGGCUCAAGGCAAGACCCAAAGGAAACCGCUCCUGUGUAAAACCACUGAUCUAAAACAAAUGAUGCCAGCUUCACAUUAGGUCUGAAUUGGGCUACUAAAUCUCAGAUCCUCAGAGGUUGCCUUUGGAGCCUUUCAACAGCAUCCCUGGCAGUUGAAGAAGCCAUGAACAGAAUGAACCAGCUGUACUUCCAUAGGAAAGUGCAGCAACAUGAACACACAGGCUGGUGCCUUGUAAUUCUGCUUUGCCUACCCCUAGCGAUGGGUUGUUUCUAUCUAUUGAGCGCAGACUGCUGAAGUCCACAUGGA